GGGCCGUUGGUCUAGUGGUAUGAUUCUCGCUUAGGGUCCACCCUAUAGCAUCUGCAUGCGAGAGGUCCCGGGUUCAAUCCCCGGAUGGCCCC
This 92-nucleotide transfer RNA is filed under the name Coniochaeta pulveracea. Its description in RNAcentral is "tRNA-Pro". It matches the Rfam family "tRNA". From Rfam's summary of the family: Transfer RNA (tRNA) molecules are approximately 80 nucleotides in length. Their secondary structure includes four short double-helical elements and three loops (D, anti-codon, and T loops). Lineage: Eukaryota; Fungi; Ascomycota; Sordariomycetes; Coniochaetales; Coniochaetaceae. The record is from RNAcentral.